ACGGGAGGCAGCAGUGAGGAAUAUUGGGCAAUGGAGGGAACUCUGACCCAGCCAUGCCGCGUGAGUGAGAAGGUUUUCGAAUUGUAAAGCUCUUUCGGGUGUGAAGAUGAUGACGGUAGCACCAGAAGAAGCCCCGGCAAACUUCGUGCCAGCAGCCGCGGUAAUACGAAGGGGGCGAGCGUUGUUCGGAAUUACUGGGCGUAAAGGGUGUGUAGGCGGUUGUAUAAGAUAGUGGUGAAAUGCCAGAGCUCAACUUUGGAAUUGCCAUUAUGACUGUGCGGCUAGAGUGAUGUAGAGGAUAGCGGAAUACCCAGUGUAGAGGUGAAAUUCGUAGAUAUUGGGUAGAACACCGGAGGCGAAGGCGGCUAUCUGGGCAUAAACUGACGCUGAGGCACGAAAGCAUGGGGAUCAAACAGGAUUAGAUACCCUGGUA
This 433-nucleotide ribosomal RNA is filed under the name uncultured Rhodospirillum sp. RNAcentral describes it as "partial 16S ribosomal RNA". It matches the Rfam family "Bacterial small subunit ribosomal RNA", at positions 341 to 792 of the family's 1533-position model. The record is from RNAcentral. Lineage: Bacteria; Pseudomonadati; Pseudomonadota; Alphaproteobacteria; Rhodospirillales; Rhodospirillaceae.